AUUGAACGCUGGCGGCAGGCCUAACACAUGCAAGUCGAGCGAGCGGCGGACGGGUGAGUAAUGUAUGGGGACUGCCAGAUAGAGGGGGAUAACUACUGGAAACGGUGGCUAAUACCGCAUACUGUCGGAUAACCCAUAUGGGAUUAGUUAGUAGGUAAGGUAAUGGCUUAACUAGGCGACGCUCCCUAGCUGGUCUGAGAGGAUGAUCAGCAACACUGGGACUGAGACACGUCCCAGACUACUACGGAGGCAGCAGUGGGGAAUAGUGCACAAGAGGCGCAAGCCUGACGGAGCAACGCCGCGGGAGUGAUGACGGCCUUCGGGUUGUAAAGCUCUGUUAAUCGGGAGACGGUACCGGAAUAGAAAGCCACGGCUAACUACGUGCCAGCAGCCGCGGUAAUAC
Molecule: ribosomal RNA, 403 nt
Filed under: uncultured bacterium
Lineage: Bacteria
Description: partial 16S ribosomal RNA
Rfam family: Bacterial small subunit ribosomal RNA
Source: RNAcentral